CGGUAGCUCAGUCGGAUAGAGCAACGGCCUUCUAAGCCGUGGGUCAGGGGUUCGAAUCCUCUUCG
Molecule: transfer RNA, 65 nt
Filed under: uncultured Thiogranum sp.
Lineage: Bacteria; Pseudomonadati; Pseudomonadota; Gammaproteobacteria; Chromatiales; Ectothiorhodospiraceae
Rfam family: tRNA
About the family: Transfer RNA (tRNA) molecules are approximately 80 nucleotides in length. Their secondary structure includes four short double-helical elements and three loops (D, anti-codon, and T loops). Further hydrogen bonds mediate the characteristic L-shaped molecular structure. tRNAs have two regions of fundamental functional importance: the anti-codon, which is responsible for specific mRNA codon recognition, and the 3' end, to which the tRNAs corresponding amino acid is attached (by aminoacyl-tRNA synthetases). tRNAs cope with the degeneracy of the genetic code in two manners: having more than one tRNA (with a specific anti-codon) for a particular amino acid; and 'wobble' base-pairing, i.e. permitting non-standard base-pairing at the 3rd anti-codon position.
Source: RNAcentral